AUGAACGCUGGCGGCGUGCCUAAUACAUGCAAGUCGAGCGAACGGACGAGAAGCUUGCUUCUCUGAUGUUAGCGGCGGACGGGUGAGUAACACGUGGAUAACCUACCUAUAAGACUGGGAUAACUUCGGGAAACCGGAGCUAAUACCGGAUAAUAUUUUGAACCGCAUGGUUCAAAAGUGAAAGACGGUCUUGCUGUCACUUAUAGAUGGAUCCGCGCUGCAUUAGCUAGUUGGUAAGGUAACGGCUUACCAAGGCAACGAUGCAUAGCCGACCUGAGAGGGUGAUCGGCCACACUGGAACUGAGACACGGUCCAGACUCCUACGGGAGGCAGCAGUAGGGAAUCUUCCGCAAUGGGCGAAAGCCUGACGGAGCAACGCCGCGUGAGUGAUGAGGGUCUUCGGAUCGUAAAACUCUGUUAUUAGGGAAGAACAUAUGUGUAAGUAACUGUGCACAUCUUGACGGUACCUAAUCAGAAAGCCACGGCUAACUACGUG
This 496-nucleotide ribosomal RNA is filed under the name uncultured bacterium. RNAcentral describes it as "partial 16S ribosomal RNA". It matches the Rfam family "Bacterial small subunit ribosomal RNA", at positions 29 to 507 of the family's 1533-position model. The record is from RNAcentral.